Molecule: ribosomal RNA, 309 nt
Filed under: uncultured eukaryote
Lineage: Eukaryota
Description: partial 18S ribosomal RNA
Rfam family: Eukaryotic small subunit ribosomal RNA
Source: RNAcentral
CCCUUAGAUGUUCUGGGCGGCCCGCGCACUACAUUGGCACUGGCAACAAGAUCCUAGAUCUGAUAUUUCGGGGUAUUCUACCAACUGGUGUCGUGACUGGGAUUAACCCCUGCAAUUAUUGGUUAUGGACGAGGAAUUCCUUGUAAUCACGGUUUAUCAACCCGUGUUGAAUGCGUCCCUGCCCUUUGUACACACCGCCCGUCGCUCCUACCGAUGAAUCGUCCGGUGAAGUUCAUGGAGUCGCUGCUGCUCCAGCUGUUUUCGAAGUGAAAUGGACCUCAUGAUUUAGAGGAAGGAGAAGUCGUAACA